Molecule: long non-coding RNA, 771 nt
Organism: Lolium perenne
Lineage: Eukaryota; Viridiplantae; Streptophyta; Magnoliopsida; Poales; Poaceae
Source: RefSeq, a predicted model, not a curated record
CCGCCAGCAAGGGCCCUCAACUAUGUAAACUGUGAAUUUGGAGGUUUCAACGCCUCAUAAAUAAUCCCCAGCGCUCAAUGGAACUUGAUGCCACAAGAAAUAAACACAUUCUCGAGAAAAUUUGCGUUGCUACUGCAGAUCGGCAUAGAGAUCAAGAUGCAAAGUAGGCAGUUCGGACCGGACCUGAUUUUCGUCUCAGCACCGUCAUCGAUCCGGAGGUUGCCCAGGAGGCCAAGAGCAGAUGGGAAAGCCUAAUCUAGGAAUUACCCAUUGACCUACAUGCGAGGUCCGGGCUCUGAAUUAUGUACAGGUUACCAGGUCCAGCACCAGAGCCGGAUCGGACCGGACCAUUUGCAUUCAUACAUAUAGAGGACCAGAGCGCGUUCCCAAGGUCCAGGUACGGCCAACAUAUUAUAUGUACACUAUUCGCUGCAAUUUAACCAGAAGACUACAUUGUAGUUUACACUGAUGUUGCUCCAUAUUCAACACUACUAUAUCCAGUUACAUAAACUGAGACUACUAUACAAAAAGAGGAGUGCAGGCUCGUUGUUAAGACAAAACUGCACAUGGACGAAAAAAAAAGGAUCAACCCUACAGACAGUGUCGGGCAGCAGUUCAUGUAGGCCAACACUAGUGGCUGCCAUCAGGGACAUCAUCCGCAGCUUUUCCAGCACACGACUUUGCCACGGACUCAAACAGCAUCUUAAUCUCAGGCGCAAUAUGUAUGAACGAUCGGUUCCAAAAGUUGUAGCGAGGGUUCUACAAGAGAAA